UGGAAUCUUUAUCAACCAAUAUCUAGUAUGCUCUGCAAAUGCUGUGCUAGCUAGAUGCUGUAUCUGAGACUUUCUGUGUCCUCAUUCUCUCUGUAAGAUCAGUGAUUUCCAUCUUAAAAUCUAUUGAAAAAAAAAAUGUCACUUCCCUUCCCUCUUGGAGUGCGUUCUGAUUGUCUGCUGUAGACAAGCAUGGAUGUCAUGACUCUGCCUGUGUAACACUAUUAAGGGGUGCCUCUGAGUCUUGAGAGUUUUAUGCCUAAUAAUAUGGGGCAGGACAAACAUCAAGCUUCAGUAUGCUUCUUCUAUUCUUGCUGGUCCCCAUCAAUUCUAGGCGAAGGUGGUAGAAUAGAAGCAAGGAAAAGCAAGUUAUCUUGGUGGGCAUUAUCAUUGAGAGGGAAUUAUGAAUAAUUAACAGGGGCAUUGACCAGUAACAAUGACAAAUCAUAGUGUUUCAGAGGGAAAUUAGUUUGGGAUAAACAAGGACCACGGGACAUCAGUCUGUGGUAGUUGCUAUGGCCCUUUAUGGAGUUUUCACAUUUUAAGAAGUGCUUGGUGGUGCUGCAGAAUUUUAGAAUGGAAAACAUCAUGUUCUUGAGCUGAGCUGGACACUUGGUUGUCAAUUCUUAAGAAUCUGUAAGGCAGGACAUUCUAAUAGCUUUUUUUUUUUUAGCUGUAGUUACCAUCCUCAAAUAUGAAAGUAAUUGAUACUCAGCAAUGAAAGCUGCGUAUGCAUGUGGGAGAGAAGGAGGUUUCACCAGACUGACAAAAGGAGUCAUGGUUCUGGGAAGGAGCAGCAUUCACCAGAGGAUGAAUAAUAUGGCUUGGUGGAACUUUCCUCACAACCUCUUGUACUCAGACGGCCAGGACAGAAGCUGA
Molecule: long non-coding RNA, 876 nt
Filed under: Macaca mulatta (Rhesus monkey)
Lineage: Eukaryota; Metazoa; Chordata; Mammalia; Primates; Cercopithecidae
Description: lncRNA (ENSMMUG00000058736.1)
Source: RNAcentral